GAAGAAACCCGNUGGGUUUNGACGGUAACCUCAGAGGAAGCCCCGGCUAACUACGUGCCAGCAGCCGCGGNAAUACGUAGGGGGCAAACGUUACUCGGAAUUACUGGGCGUAAAGGGUGCGUAGGCGGCUGGGAAAGNCAAAGAUGAAAUCCCGUGGCUUAUCUGCGGAACUGUCUUUGAAACUUCCCGGCUUGAGGAUAAUCGAAGAGAACGGAAUUCCCGGNGGAGCGGGGAAAUGCGUAGACAUCGGGAGGAACACCNGAGGCGAAAGCGGNUCUCUAGACUACUCCUGACGCUGAGGCACGAAAGCUAGGGGAGCAAACGGGAUUAGAUACCCCGGNAGNCCUAGCCAUCAACGAUGGAUACUGGAUAUUCCUGCACUCAUGUGGGAGUGNCGAAGCUAACGCGNUAA
Molecule: ribosomal RNA, 412 nt
Filed under: uncultured delta proteobacterium
Lineage: Bacteria; Deltaproteobacteria
Description: partial 16S ribosomal RNA
Rfam family: Bacterial small subunit ribosomal RNA
Source: RNAcentral